UGCAAAGACUCAACAAAGCUGGAAAUAAACUGGCAAGACUGCAAAAAAAGAAACGUCAGCUUCCAAUCUGGAGGUGAACUUAGGAGUGAUGUAUAAGACUAUUGCUAUGAAUGUGAAGAAAUUGCUGAAGAACCUGGAAUACCCACUUAUCUACAAAUUAGCUAAACUGUCCGUUCAGUGGUGUAUAUAUGCCUGCCUAGAGUCCCUGGGUCACCACUCUGGUGGAAGAUGAAAGGCCUUCUCCAAAACCAAGACAGGAGUGGUCUACAAGAAAUCAAACAUUGAAGAACUUGAUUUGAGGAACUGAAUAAUUCUUGAUUAUUCACGACUGAACACACCAAACAGCAUUUGCCUUCUAUUACCUCACCAUAACCCCCCAAACAGGAAGAGGAAUACAGGCUCCAACUGAUAUAGAUUGCAAUCCCAGAGACUCUCCACUUGAUGGCUGGUUGUGUCAUUGCUAGUCGACUGCUGCCCUGUAUCCAGAAGGAC
This is a long non-coding RNA of Rhea pennata, 492 nucleotides long. RefSeq lists it as uncharacterized. Lineage: Eukaryota; Metazoa; Chordata; Aves; Rheiformes; Rheidae. The record is from RefSeq and is a predicted model, not a curated record. The transcript has 4 exons.